RNAcentral lists this non-coding RNA (31 nucleotides) under Mus musculus (house mouse). The record is from RNAcentral. Lineage: Eukaryota; Metazoa; Chordata; Mammalia; Rodentia; Muridae.
UAGGCCUCACUGCAGGAGAAUGAAGAUGAUC